AUUGAACGCUGGCGGCAGGCUUAACACAUGCAAGUCGAACGAUGACUCUCUAGCUUGCUAGAGAAGAUUAGUGGCGGACGGGUGAGUAACAUUUAGGAAUCUGCCUAGUAGUGGGGGAUAGCUCGGGGAAACUCGAAUUAAUACCGCAUACGACCUACGGGUGAAAGGGGGCGCAAGCUCUUGCUAUUAGAUGAGCCUAAAUCAGAUUAGCUAGUUGGUGGGGUAAAGGCCCACCAAGGCGACGAUCUGUAACUGGUCUGAGAGGAUGAUCAGUCACACCGGAACUGAGACACGGUCCGGACUCCUACGGGAGGCAGCAGUGGGGAAUAUUGGACAAUGGGGGCAACCCUGAUCCAGCCAUGCCGCGUGUGUGAAGAAGGCCUUUUGGUUGUAAAGCACUUUAAGCAGGGAGGAGAGGCUAAUGGUUAAUACCCAUUAGAUUAGACGUUACCUGCAGAAUAAGCACCGGCUAACUCUGUGCCAGCAGCCGCGGUAAUACAGAGGGUGCGAGCGUUAAUCGGAAUUACUGGGCGUAAAGCGAGUGUAGGUGGCUCAUUAAGUCACAUGUGAAAUCCCCGGGCUUAACCUGGGAACUGCAUGUGAUACUGGUGGUGCUAGAAUAUGUGAGAGGGAAGUAGAACUCCAGGUGUAGCGGUGAAAUGCGUAGAGAUCUGGAGGAAUACCGAUGGCGAAGGCAGCUUCCUGGCAUAAUAUUGACACUGAGAUUCGAAAGCGUGGGUAGCAAACAGGAUUAGAUACCCUGGUAGUCCACGCCGUAAACGAUGUCUACUAGCCGUUGGGGUCCUUGAGACUUUAGUGGCGCAGUUAACGCGAUAAGUAGACCGCCUGGGGAGUACGGCCGCAAGGUUAAAACUCAAAUGAAUUGACGGGGGCCCGCACAAGCGGUGGAGCAUGUGGUUUAAUUCGAUGCAACGCGAAGAACCUUACCUGGUCUUGACAUAGUGAGAAUCCUGCAGAGAUGCGGGAGUGCCUUCGGGAAUUCACAUACAGGUGCCGCAUGGCUGUCGUCAGCUCGUGUCGUGAGAUGUUGGGUUAAGUCCCGCAACGAGCGCAACCCUUUUCCUUAUUUGCCAGCGGGUUAAGCCGGGAACUUUAAGGAUACUGCCAGUGACAAACUGGAGGAAGGCGGGGACGACGUCAAGUCAUCAUGGCCCUUACGACCAGGGCUACACACGUGCUACAAUGGUAGGUACAGAGGGUUGCUACACAGCGAUGUGAUGCUAAUCUCAAAAAGCCUAUCGUAGUCCGGAUUGGAGUCUGCAACUCGACUCCAUGAAGUCGGAAUCGCUAGUAAUCGCAGAUCAGAAUGCUGCGGUGAAUACGUUCCCGGGCCU
Molecule: ribosomal RNA, 1355 nt
Filed under: uncultured bacterium
Lineage: Bacteria
Description: bacterial SSU rRNA
Rfam family: Bacterial small subunit ribosomal RNA
Source: RNAcentral